Molecule: ribosomal RNA, 253 nt
Filed under: uncultured bacterium
Lineage: Bacteria
Description: partial 16S ribosomal RNA
Rfam family: Bacterial small subunit ribosomal RNA
Source: RNAcentral
UACUGAGGUGGCAAGCGUUGUUCGGAAUUACUGGGCGUAAAGGGCGCGUAGGCGGCUUGGUCAGUCCCGUGUGAAAUCCCUCGGCUCAACUGAGGAACUGCACGGGAAACUGCCUGGCUUGAGUUCGGGAGAGGGAAGCGGAAUUCCGGGUGUAGCGGUGAAAUGCGUAGAUAUCCGGAGGAACACCGGUGGCGAAGGCGGCUUCCUGGACCGACACUGACGCUGAGGCGCGAAAGCUAGGGGAGCAAACGGG